RNAcentral lists this ribosomal RNA (1004 nucleotides) under Xiphinema brevicolle. RNAcentral describes it as "SSU rRNA". It matches the Rfam family "Eukaryotic small subunit ribosomal RNA", at positions 36 to 1036 of the family's 1831-position model. Lineage: Eukaryota; Metazoa; Nematoda; Enoplea; Dorylaimida; Longidoridae. The record is from RNAcentral.
CUCAAAGAUUAAGCCAUGCAUGUCUAAGCACAUGCCUUAAUACGGUGAAGCCGCGAAUAGCUCAUUACAACAGCCACCGUUUACUAGAAAAUCAGUAUCCUACUCGGAUAACUGUGGCAAUUCUAGAGCUAAUACGUGCGAAAAAGCUCGUUUCGCAAGAUUCGAGCGCAUUUAUUAGAAUAAAAACCAAUCGGGCCCAUAAAGCUCGUAAUUUGGUGAAUCUGAAUAACUUUGCCGAUCGCACGGUCCUAGUACCGGCGACGUAUCUUUCAAGUGUCUGCCUUAUCAACUUUCGAUGGUAGGUUAUACGCCUACCAUGGUAGUAACGGGUAACGGAGAAUAAGGGUUCGACUCCGGAGAGGGAGCCUGAGAAACGGCUACCACAUCCAAGGAAGGCAGCAGGCGCGCAAAUUACCCACUUCCAGAACGGAGAGGUAGUGACGAAAAAUAACGAGACAGUCCUCUUCGAGGUCUGUCAUCGGAAUGGGUACAAUUUAAAUCCUUUAACGAGGAUCUAUUGGAGGGCAAGUCUGGUGCCAGCAGCCGCGGUAAUUCCAGCUCCAAUAGCGUAUAUUAAAGUUGUUGCGGUUAAAACGCUCGUAGUUGGAUCUGCGGCCUCGGAGAACGGUCCCCCGAAAGGGCGGUCACUGUUACUCCAAGCCUAAAUAUCUAGUCUACUCUACGGUGCUCUUAACCGAGUGCCUAGAGUGACUGGAACGUUUACUUUGAAAAAAUUAGAGUGCUUAAAGCAGGCGAAAUAGCCUGAAUAAGGUGCAUGGAAUAAUGGAAUAGGACCUCGGUUCUAUUUUGUUGGUUUUCGGAGCCCGAGGUAAUGAUUAAGAGGAACAGACGGGGGCAUUCGUAUUCCGGCGCUAGAGGUGAAAUUCUUGGACCGCCGGAAGACGGACGACUGCGAAAGCAUUUGCCAAGAAUGUUUUCAUUAAUCAAGAACGAAAGUUAGAGGUUCGAAGGCGAUCAGAUACCGCCCUAGUUCUGACCGUAAA